AACGAACGCUGGCGGCAUGCCUAACACAUGCAAGUCGAACGAAGCCUUCGGGCUUAGUGGCGCACGGGUGCGUAACGCGUGGGAAUCUGCCCCUUGCUUCGGAAUAACAGUUAGAAAUGACUGCUAAUACCGGAUGAAGUCUUCGGACCAAAGAUUUAUCGGCAAGGGAUGAGCCCGCGUAGGAUUAGGUAGUUGGUGGGGUAAAGGCCUACCAAGCCGACGAUCCUUAGCUGGUCUGAGAGGAUGAUCAGCCACACUGGGACUGAGACACGGCCCAGACUCCUACGGGAGGCAGCAGUGGGGAAUAUUGGACAAUGGACGCAAGUCUGAUCCAGCAAUGCCGCGUGAGUGAUGAAGGCCUUAGGGUUGUAAAGCUCUUUUACCAGGGAUGAUAAUGACAGUACCUGGAGAAUAGGCUCCGGCUAACUCCGUG
This 433-nucleotide ribosomal RNA is filed under the name uncultured bacterium. RNAcentral describes it as "partial 16S ribosomal RNA". It matches the Rfam family "Bacterial small subunit ribosomal RNA", at positions 29 to 507 of the family's 1533-position model. The record is from RNAcentral.